RNAcentral lists this ribosomal RNA (305 nucleotides) under uncultured bacterium. Its description in RNAcentral is "bacterial SSU rRNA". It matches the Rfam family "Bacterial small subunit ribosomal RNA", at positions 337 to 640 of the family's 1533-position model. The record is from RNAcentral.
GCCUACGGGGGGCAGCAGUGAGGAAUAUUGGUCAAUGGGAGAGAUCCUGAACCAGCCAAGCCGCGUGAGGGAAGACGGCCCUAUGGGUUGUAAACCUCUUUUGUCGGAGAACAAAACCCGGGACGUGUCCCGGACUGCGUGUAUCCGAAGAAAAAGCAUCGGCUAACUCCGUGCCAGCAGCCGCGGUAAUACGGAGGAUGCGAGCGUUAUCCGGAUUUAUUGGGUUUAAAGGGUGCGCAGGCGGCGAGUUAAGUCAGCGGUAAAAUUUCGGGGCUCAACCCCGACGAGCCGUUGAAACUGGCUUG